This 67-nucleotide transfer RNA is filed under the name Dolichoris vasculosae. RNAcentral describes it as "tRNA-Tyr". Lineage: Eukaryota; Metazoa; Arthropoda; Insecta; Hymenoptera; Agaonidae. The record is from RNAcentral.
AGUAAUAUGUCUGAUUAUAGGUAAUAAACUGUAAAUUUAUUUAUAGAAUUUUAAAUUCUUAUUACUA